UCCCUGUUACCAGGGCAGUCUCCGAUGAAAAUCCAACAUCGGACAAGGGUUUCGUUCGUUUAAGGACUUAACCUCACAGCUCACGCCACGAACUGACGACGACCGUGCAAUACCUGUCUUAGCGCUCCCUUACGGGCACUCUCUCGUUUCUGAGAGAUUCGCUAGAUGUCAAAUCUGGGAUAAGGUUUUCGCUUACUGUCGAAUUAAACCACAUGCUCCACCACUUGUGCGAGCCCCCGCCAAUUUAUUUGAGUUUUAAUCUUGCGAUCGUACUUCCCAGGCGGUCAACUUGACGCGUUAGCUUCGCAACAGAAAGGGUCGACUCUUCCUAUUGCUAGUUGACAUAGUUUACGGCGUGGACUAC
Molecule: unclassified non-coding RNA, 364 nt
Filed under: uncultured bacterium
Lineage: Bacteria
Description: contains 16S-23S intergenic spacer region
Source: RNAcentral